UACAGGGGGGGCGAGCGUUGUUCGGAAUUACUGGGCGUAAAGGGUUUGUAGGUGGCUUGCUCAGUCAGACGUGAAAUCCCUCAGCUUAACUGGGGAACUGCGUCUGAUACUAGCGAGCUUGAGUGCAGGAGAGGAACGCGGAAUUCCUGGUGUAGCGGUGAAAUGCGCAGAUAUCAGGAGGAACACCGAUGGCGAAGGCAGGUCUCUGGGCCACUACUGACGCUGAGAAGCGAAAGCAUGGGGAGCGAACAGG
Molecule: ribosomal RNA, 253 nt
Filed under: uncultured bacterium
Lineage: Bacteria
Description: partial 16S ribosomal RNA
Rfam family: Bacterial small subunit ribosomal RNA
Source: RNAcentral